Molecule: ribosomal RNA, 253 nt
Filed under: uncultured bacterium
Lineage: Bacteria
Description: partial 16S ribosomal RNA
Rfam family: Bacterial small subunit ribosomal RNA
Source: RNAcentral
UACGUAGGUGGCGAGCGUUGUCCGGAUUUACUGGGCGUAAAGCGCGUGCAGGUGGUUUGUUAAGUCCGGUGUGAAAGCUCCCGGCUCAACUGGGAGAGGUCAUCGGAUACUGGCAGACUUGAGGGAGGCAGAGGUCGGUGGAAUUCCCGGUGUAGUGGUGAAAUACGUAGAGAUCGGGAGGAACACCAGUGGCGAAAGCGGCCGACUGGGCCUUACCUGACGCUGAGACGCGAAAGCGUGGGGAGCGAACCGG